UGGGCAGUGAGUUAAAGUGAGUCACAUCCUGUUUUCUUUCCAUAGUCUAACUUUAAACUAGAUUAUGUAAUUCUGUAAAAACCAUAUAGACACUGAGGAAGAACUACAUAUUUCAUAUCCUUUUUUAGAUAAUCAUGACGUUAGCAGUUUCCUCUUUUUUCUGGAAACAAAGUGGCACUAUAAAGUUUUAGACGACAUCGCGGAGACGCUUGAACAAGCGCACUGUUUGGACUCAAAGAGACGACCAAAAUAAUGAAGCUCCUGCUGCUCAUCCUCACGCUGAUGACAGGUCGUGGUGCCGAUGGUGAUGAUGAAGAUGAAGUGGAGGCAUGCAAACAAGGAUGGGUUCAAUUCAUCUGCAAAUAUCCUGGAGCAAAUAAAAAAUAUGACCACGUCAAUGUAGUUUUUCCCAAUAGAACAAGCUUACGAAGCUCUCUGAAGGAUGUUUGGGACAAUAAAGGCAGAUUUUCUCUGUACCAUGAUACAAAACAUAAAACUCUGAUGGUGGGCAUCAGAGAUCUUAAACAAGCAGACUUUGGGACGUACAGAUGUGAAUUUGAUCAAGGCUCAAACAGAUCUCCUGUCAAAAAGGAAUUGGAUUAUGAAAACUGCCAGCAGCCAUUUACUCAAACUGUGACCAGAGGAGCUAACAUCAAGUGUCAUUAUCCAGAUGUUGAUUUCAAGUCCGGGGUCCAGUUUUUCUGCAGAGGGGAGAAUUUCACCUGUAAGGAUAUUUUGUCAACAAAAGGUCAGAGGUUAAACGGGAAAUUCAGACUCACAAACACCAACAGAGGCUUCAACGUGUCCAUCAGUGGUGUUUCCUCACAGGACGCUGGUGUCUACUGGUGUGGAGUGGAAUCAAAGGAUGGAAGCUACAGAGUUUCACUCAAACAAAUAAAACUGGAGGUUGAAGACCCCUCCACUACAUCCUCCACUACAUCAUUGAAUCCUUCAUCUCCAGCCACCAAUUCUACAACCCAGACACCUCCUGUGACAGCUGGUUCUCCUUUAACUGUGGUCAUCACUGCGGCUGUCCUCGUUGCUCUCCUGCUACUUGUGGUUAUUGCGGUUUUCACCUACAAAUGUUUUUCAUGGUCAAAACACAGAAAGAAUGGAGAGGCACAGAACAAAGAAGAUAAUAUCUAUGAGGCAAUACACGAGUCUUCCCAGAAGUCCGUCACAAGACCUGCAAUGAAAACAGUUUAUGCCACUACCAACUUCCCCACAAACCCAGCUUUCUUCAUGCAUGAAUCCAAAGUCAAGGUUUAAAACAUCUCUGGUGAGGCUGACUCUGAUACAGAUUGUAGUCAGUGGAAACCAGGCCAGCAUGAUACGAAGUCUACAGCAAAUCAUCCAUCCAGAGUUUCAAUUGACAAUUUCUACUCCCUGUCGUUGCAAUGCCACUGCGGCACUGAGAAGGGUUAAGUCCUGACUGCUCCUCUAUUUACUGCUUGCUUUCUAGCUAUUAAAAUUUGAUGAUCUGGGAAAUUUCAAACCUUUUCUUGAUGCAUCCAAAAUCUAUAAGAACUUUUCAGCUGUACAGAUCUAGGGCAGUGACCUGGGUGGGAAUGAAUGUGAUUAUUUUGCCAGAUCCUAUGUUAUUUACGUUUAUAUUUUUUUCCUUUAUUUCACUUUUGUAAUCCUUCUCUUCUCUAUUUGUUUAUAUGUAUGAAGGAAAUAUUCUUAAUAAAAAAGCCAUUGUUUAAAAUGAUGAUCUGAAAAAUGUAAGAUGUAAAAAAUAUGCAAAAAAACAUUAAAAGAAUAGAAAGAAAAAUCAGAAAGAUGGCAGAAUACUUGUUCACAGCACUAUAUUAAAAAAUGCAAGCCUAUUAUAGGCCAGAAAAGGGAAGACAUGGUGUGUUUGCCACCCACAGUUACCUGGACAAGCAAGGACAGAGCAGGCAUCUGCCCCCCACUGUUGAUCCAAACCAGCAAAUCUACUGAAAGAUAUUAGGCUACGUUCAAACUGCAGGUCUUGAUGCUCAAUUCCGAUUUUUUGAUCAAAUCCGAUUUUUUUGUCUGCUUGUUCACACUACAAAUAAAAUGCGACAGCAAACGCGCUCUAGUGUGAACGCUCAAAGCGGCCGCAUGCGCAAAAGAAGACGUCACACACAACGCGCUCUGGUUAGACCCAGAGCAAACAAUAUUGUUUGACUGAUGGCCUUAAUAUAAAGACUUCGGACUUUACAUUUCCCAAUUUUUACUUUAAGUUAUUUUGUUAUUUACAUAAUAAUGUAAAUAACCUAAUAAUGAUCCUUAUUUCUGUUUUAGAGGAGCGCUGCUUCAAAGGAUAGCUGCAGAUUUCUGUCAGAAUCUGCAGAUUAUACAGUACAAAGAAAAUGUUCACGUUGUCUUCCCAACAGUUUCACUGACAUCUACACUGGAUGGCCAGGAAGCGUUCGCGGUGUCUUCUCCGGGGCUGAUAAUUAGCGUCUGUCUUGUGUCAGUGACGUAAAAGACGGAUUUAAUGCGACAUGACCGUCAAACAGCAGUCGCUUCCUAAAACAUCGGAUAUGUAUCGUGAUGCGCUUUCGCCUGCAGUGUGAACGUAGCCUUAGUGUCAUGGUUGGCUGUGUGGCAGGCAGGCAGGAAAAAAGGACCCAAACUUGACACUGAGAGAGACAUGAAGAAUAUGACACAAAACAGAGAAGACAGUGACUUAAACUGGAGGCCAGAACACCAAAUAAAGUAAAGAGAACAAAACUAAGAAUAACCCUUAAUACCAAAUCAAACCAGCACAACUCAAAAACCCAAACAAAUCAUAUAUUUAGAAAAACAGAAAAAGCUGGGUCACAAUGACCCAGAACCGUGACAAUUAGAGCUGCACCAGGAACCUUUUUAUGCUAUUUUUAAAAUUAUUAUUCAUUUGUUACUUCCCAAAUGUGCACUUUUACUUGCCUGUUCGCAGCUUUUUUUUUUUUUACCUUUGUUUCUGUUUUUUGUGGAUGGUCGCCAUGACGUCAGGUUCAGUCGAUGCUACUUUCAGCUGCUCCUUUGUUACAAAGGGUUUCCAAAGUAGGUUGCCAUUUUUUUUUUAUCCCCAUCCUGACACAACCCCCAUGGGAUGUGUUUCCUCCCAGGAUGAAACCAUUCAUGUUUUUAAUUAAGCAAUUCUUCUUCAUCGUCAUAUUAAUGAUUGUACCUUUUUAUUUUGUUCUUUUCUUUCUCAGUUACAGUUUGUAUUGUAGUUGAUUUGGAAAAUUUAAAAAAGCUUCUGAUGAUGCUAUUAAAAAAGUUUUGCAUUUGCAUCUCGUGUGGUCUUCUCAGUUUAUUACAAAUUGUAUGUGUUUAAAGACUAAAAAACAAUAUUUAGUGUUUGCACCAAUGCAUCUGAAUACAUCAAGACUUAACAUACAAUACAACAUAUUUACAGAGGAUGGUGCUGUCAGACUGAAAUCUAU
Astatotilapia calliptera (eastern happy) is the source of this 3401-nucleotide long non-coding RNA. The record is from Ensembl. NCBI's taxonomy places the organism in Eukaryota, Metazoa, Chordata, Actinopteri, Cichliformes, Cichlidae.